UGACAAAUACUGCAGAAAGCCU
RNAcentral lists this non-coding RNA (22 nucleotides) under Mus musculus (house mouse). Lineage: Eukaryota; Metazoa; Chordata; Mammalia; Rodentia; Muridae. The record is from RNAcentral.